AGAAAGUUAGUCUAACUAAGACAAUUGACUUCGGCUCAAUAAAUCAUAGUAGCACCCUAUGACUUUCUC
Molecule: non-coding RNA, 69 nt
Organism: Colius striatus (speckled mousebird)
Lineage: Eukaryota; Metazoa; Chordata; Aves; Coliiformes; Coliidae
Source: the annotation of a RefSeq genome assembly